CGUGUGAGUAUGAGCACGAUGAGUAGUCAGAAGCAAUCAAGAUAAAAAAGAAGGGAAGGGAAAUAAGAAGAAGAGAGAUUUACACGUAUGGAAGGAAAGAUUCUUACCUACCCUAGUUCUUGCAAGUGUGUAUGUGUCAUAUCAUGAAUUUGAAUUUGGAUUGUAGUAAUUUCAAUUUUUAAGUUUUUUUCUUUUUUAAGUUUCUGUAUUCAAUCGAUUCGAGUUUGAUUUUUGGUGAAAACAUUAUUAUUUCUCGACAUGAAUUCUGAAUUACUAAUAUUUCUUUUUCUUAUAAAUUGGAUUAUCA
RNAcentral lists this long non-coding RNA (307 nucleotides) under Lathyrus oleraceus (garden pea). Its description in RNAcentral is "Pisum sativum (pea) long non-coding RNA (PSAT_LNC036041)". The record is from RNAcentral. Lineage: Eukaryota; Viridiplantae; Streptophyta; Magnoliopsida; Fabales; Fabaceae.